AUAAAUGAAGCGGUCUGGAAAGGCCCGCCAAAGACGGUAACAGCCCGGUAGUUGAAAUGGCUUUCCCUCCAGAGUGGAUCCUGAGUACGGCGGAACACGUGAAAUUCCGUCGGAAUCCGGGAGGACCAUCUCCCAAGGCUAAAUACUCCCUAGUGACCGAUAGUGAACCAGUACCGUGAGGGAAAGGUGAAAAGCACCCCGGAAGGGGAGUGAAACAGUUCCUGAAACCGUGUGCCUACAAGUAGUUAGAGCCCGUUAAUGGGUGAUAGCGUGCCUUUUGUAGAAUGAACCGGCGAGUUACGAUUUGUUGCAAGGUUAAGCGGAAAAAGCGGAGCCGUAGCGAAAGCGAGUCUGAAUAGGGCGCAUAAGUAACAGGUCGUAGACCCGAAACCAGGUGAUCUACCCAUGUCCAGGAUGAAGGUAAGGUAAUACUUACUGGAGGUCCGAACCCACGCACGUUGAAAAGUGCGGGGAUGAGGUGUGGGUAGCGGAGAAAUUCCAAUCGAACUUGGAGAUAGCUGGUUCUCUCCGAAAUAGCUUUAGGGCUAGCCUCGAGGUAAAGAGUCAUGGAGGUAGAGCACUGUUUGGACUAGGGGCCCUUCUCGGGUUACCGAAUUCAGAUAAACUCCGAAUGCCAUGUACUUAUACUCGGGAGUCAGACUGCGAGUGAUAAGAUCCGUAGUCGAAAGGGAAACAGCCCAGACCACCAGUUAAGGUCCCCAAAUAUAUGUUAAGUGGAAAAGGAUGUGGGGUUGCUUAGACAACCAGGAUGUUGGCUUAGAAGCAGCCACCAUUGAAAGAGUGCGUAAUAGCUCACUGGUCGAGUGACCCCGCGCCGAAAAUGUACCGGGGCUAAACAUAUUACCGAAACUGUGGAUGAACCUCAUUAGAGGUUCGUGGUAGGAGAGCGUUCUAAGGGCGGUGAAGUCAGACCGGAAGGACUGGUGGAGCGCUUAGAAGUGAGAAUGCCGGUAUGAGUAGCGAAAGAAGGGUGAGAAUCCCUUCCACCGAAUAUCUAAGGUUUCCUGAGGAAGGCUCGUCCGCUCAGGGUUAGUCGGGACCUAAGCCGAGGCCGAUAGGCGUAGGCGAUGGACAACAGGUAGAGAUUCCUGUACCAGUGCUAAUUGUUUAACCGAUGGGGUGACACAGAAGGAUAGGGAAUCGCACGAAUGGAAAUGUGCGUCCAAGCAGUGAGUGUGAG
RNAcentral lists this ribosomal RNA (1201 nucleotides) under Listeria monocytogenes. Its description in RNAcentral is "partial 23S ribosomal RNA". It matches the Rfam family "Bacterial large subunit ribosomal RNA", at positions 329 to 1529 of the family's 2925-position model. The record is from RNAcentral. Lineage: Bacteria; Bacillati; Bacillota; Bacilli; Caryophanales; Listeriaceae.